Molecule: ribosomal RNA, 896 nt
Filed under: Staphylococcus pettenkoferi
Lineage: Bacteria; Bacillati; Bacillota; Bacilli; Caryophanales; Staphylococcaceae
Description: bacterial SSU rRNA
Rfam family: Bacterial small subunit ribosomal RNA
Source: RNAcentral
UUUUUUCUUUCUCGUCAGAUGAACGCGGGCGGCGUGCCUAAUACAUGCAAGUCGAGCGAACAGACGGGGAGCUUGCUCCCCCGACGUAGCGGCGGACGGGUGAGUAACACGUGGGUAACCUACCUAUAAGACUGGAAUAACUCCGGGAAACCGGGGCUAAUGCCGGAUAACAUGUUGGACCGCAUGGUCCUACAGUGAAAGACGGUCUUGCUGUCACUUAUAGAUGGACCCGCGCCGUAUUAGCUAGUUGGUAAGGUAACGGCUUACCAAGGCAACGAUACGUAGCCGACCUGAGAGGGUGAUCGGCCACACUGGAACUGAGACACGGUCCAGACUCCUACGGGAGGCAGCAGUAGGGAAUCUUCCGCAAUGGGCGAAAGCCUGACGGAGCAACGCCGCGUGAGUGAUGAAGGCCUUCGGGUCGUAAAACUCUGUUAUUAGGGAAGAACAAAUGUGUAAGUAACUAUGCACGUCUUGACGGUACCUAAUCAGAAAGCCACGGCUAACUACGUGCCAGCAGCCGCGGUAAUACGUAGGUGGCAAGCGUUAUCCGGAAUUAUUGGGCGUAAAGCGCGCGUAGGCGGUUUCUUAAGUCUGAUGUGAAAGCCCACGGCUCAACCGUGGAGGGUCAUUGGAAACUGGGAAACUUGAGUGCAGGAGAGGAAAGUGGAAUUCCAUGUGUAGCGGUGAAAUGCGCAGAGAUAUGGAGGAACACCAGUGGCGAAGGCGACUUUCUGGUCUGCAACUGACGCUGAUGUGCGAAAGCGUGGGGAUCAAACAGGAUUAGAUACCCUGGUAGUCCACGCCGUAAACGAUGAGUGCUAAGUGUUAGGGGGUUUCCGCCCCUUAGUGCUGCAGCUAACGCAUUAAGCACUCCGCCUGGAGACUCUAGUUGG